GAUUUUAACAGUUGUAACGAUCGUUGUAUAUUUUCAACACAUUUUUCCUUUAAUAAACUUAUUAUUAUGAUAUGUUUAUAUGUAAUUCUUUGACAUUCUUUUUCUAUAAUUAAUUAGUUUUAAUAUAACUUACUAUUUCCGAGUCAAUCGUAUGAAUCUCCGAUAAUAAUUUUUGAAGUUCUAAUGUUGGAUCGUCCAUAUUUUCUGGAGUAAUUAAAGUUCUCAAUUUCAAUAAAUUUUCUACAUCUUGGCACAGUCCUUGAUAUAAUUGGGCCCAUAACGUAGAGACUUUAAUAUGACCAAGAUCUGUACAUGCAGUCGGAGGGCAUUGCAAUCUGUGUGCCCAAUCGAAGUUAUUCAUUGGAUUGCCCAUAUUUACAAAUUUCUGGAAUUGGAUCAAAAUAAUACUAUCAACUGAAAAAAAAAG
This is a long non-coding RNA of Vespa mandarinia (Asian giant hornet), 427 nucleotides long. The record is from RefSeq and is a predicted model, not a curated record. NCBI's taxonomy places the organism in Eukaryota, Metazoa, Arthropoda, Insecta, Hymenoptera, Vespidae.